Molecule: long non-coding RNA, 4576 nt
Organism: Dreissena polymorpha
Lineage: Eukaryota; Metazoa; Mollusca; Bivalvia; Myida; Dreissenidae
Exons: 7
Source: RefSeq, a predicted model, not a curated record
CAUAAUACCUGACAAAAACUUGUGUUUGGCCAACAUCAAACAAAAAAUGUUAAAAGUGAUGUAUAUGUACAGUACUUAACUGAUAUUUAAACAAAACAAAAUCAUUCUAUACAUAGAGAGGAUGUCACUAUGUUAAUUGUCUGUAAGAUCGGUGUGUACCAGUGUCGUAAAAUGCGUAUUCUUUACAAGGGAGAAUAUUCUUGUUAUCUUGGCAAAGAAACAAAUGUUAAGGGUUGCUUCCCUUGUGAACAGUACAGUGUAGUACAUGUAUCACAUGGAACUAUCAGAAUAUCUCGGGCUUCGACGAUUAAACGUACAUGUAUACACAAUUUACUCAGAAAAGUUGAGUGAUAUCUCCACAGAAAUAAUGGCUUUAAAGGCAUUUUUUCUAAGUUAUACAAUAAUAAUGACCACUUGUCCCGUCGGACUAGCAAAUUCUUUAUUUACUUGUCCGGACUAACAAUUUGGUUGUCCCGGACAGUCGGACUACCUUUAAUGUCGAGCCCUGCUCCCGACGAACACUCAAAUCUGGGAAUCCCAGUGAUUCUAUAUAUAGCUCUAAAUUACGUCAUGGAAACCGGGCAACUAAUCGUAUUUAUCAUGUGACUAUAUUACUGGAUUCCGGUCUUGCGCGAGAAGGGUGUUUCGUCAAUUAAUUACCGGAAACCAGUCGAAUUUUCAUCCGGGUUAUGUGAAAGCCAAGAUAUAAACGUUAAAACAGAAAAAGUCUCAAAAUUGGCGUUCAUACACGAACAAAAUAAAACGUUUGGACUCGGAAAAUAUUAAUUGCGUUGACGCAUUUUUUAAGAAUGAAUCAUCAAAAACCGUUGAAACCCAGCAGGAUUCGGAGUAACAUGUAAUCAACAUCGAUUAAUACUGUCAGAUUAUUGUAAAAGUGAAAGUAGACAAUCGGCAGCUGCCGCACCUUUCCCUUCCAAUACUGUAGCAGAUCUAGAUCGUCAACCCAUUCAUCUUGAAAUUGAAAUCAUAAUAUUGACAUCAUUCCCCGGCCCGGGUUGACAUUAUUAGAUCUACACCUGCAACUUUAUUUAGGACUUUGACUUUAAUAUCAUACUUGUUCAUGUGUUAAAGAACAAAAAGGUCAGAGACAUGCCUCUUUUUCUAAAAAAAACACCUGAAGUCUGUAGAGGGUAAUACCAGCUCUUCCUCCACUGACUUUGUAUCAAAAUCACUAUAUGAAAACAUCUGCAACCAUACAACCACGCAUUGUUACCAAAUGACCAGUGAUGGUAACCAUGGUAACUUCAUCACAUCUGAAGGUAACCAAAUAACUAUUGAUUGUAACCAAGCAACAACUGAGAGUAACCAUGCAACAUAUGCUGGUUACCAAAUUAUCUCAGAUGGUAACCAAGCAACAGCUGAGAGUCACCUUACAACCAAUGUUGGUUACCAAGUAAACAUCGAUGGUAACCAAGCAACAAGUGAUUGUAACCAAGCAAACACGAACAGUAACUUGGCAGCCCUUGAAACUAGCAUAGUGACCACUAACUGGACACAUGGUGUGAUCAUUGACAAUGCUGCUCCAGAAAAUGUGUGUGAUGAAGGAAGUGGAUAUCUCGACGAUGAAACCCUGCAUGUGAGUCUGAAAGGUGGUACUGGUCAGUCGCUGACGCUGAUCAACAAGCGCAGGCUGGAGCAGAUGACCCAGGGAUCGGAAGUCUUGGUCGUGGAACACAAGAAGCGCAGCCACCAGUGUUAAAUCUGUCAAGCCGAGUUCACGCAGAUCACAGAGCUGUAUCCGACACCGUGUUACCCACAAUGAGGCCGCAAGCUCCCAUGUUCAAAUGUAACACGUGCAAUUUGACCUUCAGAGAGCCGCUUGACCUUGAGAAACAUCGGCAGCUGCAUCUCGACCGCAGGGUAUACAAAUGCUGUAUCUGCCAAGACACGUUUUCUGACCUCUACAAUUUCCGGUGUCAUCUGAGAAUACACGACAAGAUUGCCACCUACACCUGUGACAUGUGUCCCUUUAUGGUGUUUGGAGAGAGGAAGCAGUAUAUCAGCCACCUAGAGGACCAUGAGCUUGCCAAGGACUCGUACAUACCUGGACAUACCCUACGUCUCCCAUGCUUUGUUUGCAAGAAGGAUUAACCUGACAGGGCUUCGCUGCGAAAACACCAGAACUACUACCACUCAGAGAAGUGCUUUAAGUGCGCGAUGUGCGGGAAAGCCUUCGUCGAGCGUGCAAAGCUACAGCGCCAUCAAAUAACGCAUACAGGCAAGAAAGAGUUCCAGUGUACGUACUGCGAUAAGUCAUUCGGGCUGAAGCACAAUCUCCUGGCGCAUAUGAACAUUCACACAAAGUACAAGCCUUGGGAAUGCAGUAUCUGUAGGCGGAAGUUUGGACAGAAAGUUUGCCGGAACCGGCAUUUGAAAGUGCAAGAGGGGUUCUCGGUGGAAUAUUUGUAAACUGGUUGAGGCAAAAGCGAGUUACAUUGAUUACUUAAAACAGUGAAAAUAAUUCAUAAAUGUCAUUGGGACAUGAUCCUUUUAAACGGACCCUGUUUAGAUAAAGAAAACUGUCAAUAGAAGUUAAGUGAUUUUGGAUUUAAGAUUUACGCCUUGACUGGGUUUUGAUAAGAAGGGACUUCCUUUAAACAAAUAAUACCAUUAAAGCGGAGUGUUGUCCCUAGUUAGCCUGUGCAGACUGCAGAGGCUACCCUUGGAAAACACUGACGCAAAUGCAUGAAGCCCCAUUUGCCCAGAAUUGGCUCCACAUUCAGGAUUACUUAAACCAAAGUCUGAUUUUUUCCAUUGUAAUUUUUCUUGAUAAAGCAGGGUCUGUUCAGAUGGACAUUGUCCAAAAGCCUUUAACUUUAUAAACAAUUGAUAUCUCAAAUUGCAGAUUUUGUUUCUUAGUGUUGAUGACGACUGAAAGAUUGUAAUGUUAUGAAAUAUUUUUCCCAUUUGAGAUGACAUAUUAUAGAAUAUACUUUUCUCGAUUGAUAAUUUUUUCCAAAUCCUCAAAUGCAUUAAAAUACAGACCUAAUUGUCAAUCUUGAAUGACUUAUUCGCCAAUUUAUAAUAACAUCAUUUAAAUAUCAAAUAGAACAAUUUAUCAUUCAUAACUGCCUUUUUGAAAUUUCUCAAAUACUAAGAUAUUGCAUGCAAUAUUCCUCAUUGAUUGGUAGGGGACUUGUUUCCAAUGGAGUAAUUCAAUAUAAAUUUAAAGUUAGCCUGAUAUGUGUUGUAGGCUUUAAAGCCCAUAAACACUCAAAAUCAACGAAUAUUUCGUACAAUAUUUUGAAAAAUAAAGUUGACGCAUAACAAUUCAAUGUUUCUUAUAGCAAUAGCCAGAAUUUCAAUGCCAGACGUGGUCUUAUUUUUGUAUGUCACAAUAUACCGGAUUUUAUGUGAAUUUCUGACUACGAAAUAUUUUGCGAAAUAUUUGUUGAUUUUGCGUAUUUAUGUUACUUCGAACCAUGCAAUUGUUCUUGGGCCUAGCUAAAGAUAUUUUAUCAUGACAGUUUCACCUCACCUUAAUCUGAAUUGAUGACGACAUGAAAAGAAAGUUUGAAAUUGUGUUUAUAUAAUGUAAAAAAUCAUGUUUAUAUUAUUAACAUCAAACAAAUUAGGAAUUGAAAACAGUUUGGGAAAAUCAUGAAUUUGGGAAAUGGCUGAUUUGAAGCCAUUAUAAUGUUGUUUGUUGUUUUGUUAAAAGACUGUUGACAGAACUGCUCAAACAAAUGUAUGUAUUUUCUGUUCUGUAGUAAUUAUUAUUUAUGUUAUAUUCCUCUUCUGAUGUUUCUGAAGUUUGAUUUGACGUAACUUUUUCAGAGCUUUAUUUCAAAUAUAAUUGAUUUAAACAUUGCUGUAUAGAUAUCAAAGUGCCAACUACAAGAACUAUAGCCCUACACUUGCUUGUUAUUACCCUUUAUUGUAUUUGUUUGAUGUAACUUUUCAGGGCUAUAUCUCAGAUACUAUACACAAUUGCAGCAUGAAAAUUCAUGGGUGUAUAGAUAUCAAUGAAGAGAAAUGCCAUGCACAAGAACUAUAGCCAUAAACUUUCUUGAAAAGUUAUUAACUUAUGUUGUCUUUGUAUGAUGUAACUUGAGUAUUUCUGGAUAUAAAAUUAUUUUUAAGUUAAGACCAAGAUUGAGAUUGAGGGUUUGUUUUAACAACUUUCUUUGCAAAAUCUUAAGUUUUACUAACUAUCUUACCUAUUGUUGUGGGUGAUUGACAUUUAAUAUCAACGGUUAAAUAGUAUUACUUCCAGAAACCAAACUGUUUGUCCUACCAGCAAUAAUUUAAUGGAUCCGAAAAUAAGCUGCAUAAAUUCAAGUCCCUAAAAUCUUGUUUAUCUGCAAAACUGGAACUUUUAGACAUAAAAUUGAUGCAUUAAAGCUUUUAGAGCAGGUGUUAUAUGAUACAUCCGGACAUUCAAGUACUUCAUAAGAUUUUACCAAGUGGCUUUUAAAUACCGGCCCUCAAUUUUGUACUUAAAACUCUUGGCCUUAGCGUAAAAAUAAUUUUAUAUCCAGAAAUACAUAGGUCAAUUAUGUCUCAUAUUAUACUUCAUAACAUUAAAUUUUAAGAAAUAAAAUAGCAAUACACA